Non-coding RNA from Cicer arietinum (chickpea), 189 nucleotides. The record is from Rfam. NCBI's taxonomy places the organism in Eukaryota, Viridiplantae, Streptophyta, Magnoliopsida, Fabales, Fabaceae.
GUUUGUGUGGUGGAGCUCCUUUUAGUCCAAAUGAGGAUCUUGCUGUGUUGAUAGAGCUGCUUAGCUAUGGAUCCCUCAAUUCUACCCAUUUAUGUUUUGUGGUAGUUUUGUGGCUUCCAUAUUUAGGGAGCUUUAUCACCUAUAGUAUUAUCUUUCUUUGGAUUGAAGGGAGCUCUACACCUUACUUUU